GUGCUUGCUUUGGAAGCACAUAUUCUGAAAUUGGGCCAAUAUAGAGGUUAGCAUGGUCUCUGUAUAAGGAUGACUUAAAAAUUGGUGAAUGGUAUAUAAAAAAU
Small nuclear RNA from Dipodomys ordii (Ord's kangaroo rat), 104 nucleotides. NCBI's taxonomy places the organism in Eukaryota, Metazoa, Chordata, Mammalia, Rodentia, Heteromyidae. The record is from Ensembl.